GGUUGAUGAUGAAUAGUAAAAGGGCUGAAGCCCAGACACUCCCUGCACCGUCACGGUCCCCAGCUGCCUCUCCUCCAUCAGGCUCCAGGAGUGCUGUGGUGGGCGGAAGGGCAGCUGACACUCCGGAUGUCCCCAUUCUAUGUUCCUUGGUGAGCCCAGAGAGAACGCCAUGGUGGGUGUCCCAACAGCUCAGUCGCAAAGGGAUCUGUUGGCAGGAGUGCAGGUGUCUGUGGCUGUGAUCUGACAUUUUCAGCUGAGACC
Molecule: non-coding RNA, 261 nt
Organism: Nycticebus coucang (slow loris)
Lineage: Eukaryota; Metazoa; Chordata; Mammalia; Primates; Lorisidae
Product: small Cajal body-specific RNA 6
Exons: 1
Source: RefSeq, a predicted model, not a curated record